ACGUGAGGGUAAAUGCCAGGUUUAUGCUUUAACACUGGGCGACAUCAUACAGACAUAUAUUUAAAUAUACAGAAUAGAAAAAGUGUCAUGAUAGAUUCCUUUUCUUUCUUUUACCCUAAAAUAUACAUCAGACUGCAGAUUUCGAGUUCCCCUGCUGAAAAAUUGGAGAACGGCAUUUUGCUACUGGGAGCAGCAUUUCGGCAACGGUCUGGUAAUCAGUCAAUUAAAAAUACAUUCUGACAAUAACACAAUUUGUUAUAGAUUGCCCUGAUUGUGUUAUAUAUCCUGCAUUCUGGUAACGUUAGUCAUCAUUUGCUCCCACUAUUACCAACCCCAAAAAACAGAUUGUACCAACAUUAUAUAUUUUUCAUAUAUAUAGGUUUAUAUUUUAUAGAAAACACAGAAUGGCUUUUAGAAAAUAAAAAAGGCUUUUCAAAAGUGAAGUGUAAACUCAGAACUACUAUUUACAUGUUUAACCCUCUGAGAUGCAGAUAGUUUGAGCUGUGUUCACAAAGCUCCCCCCACCGGCUCUCAAAAAAUAAAAAAUACAGAUUAAAGGAAAGUCUAACAAGCACAUUUUCUUCUUUUUGUUACGUGCAGGCUCUAAUACAGGAAGUGCAACUUAUUUAAUUCUCACUAUCGCAUAUUGUGCAAAUUGUUCAAAACAUUCAAACAUGCCAUACGAACGAUUGCCGUGGAAGAGGCAAUUUCUACAAUGGUAGCAGAGAUGGUUUGAAAGCAAAUGGCAGCGUUGCGUAAAUCAGACCAACGAGAUUGCAUUCACUUGCUAUUUUCCACUCAUUCUCUACAGUAACCAUACAGUUCAUCAUACAUUACAACGUGCUGUCUCCUGCCAGUGAUACAGAAGUAGUACAAGUGGUACAGAAAGGAACAUCUUCUUACAACAGAAAGUAAACAUGCGCAUACAUCAAAAGUUGACAUGAAGUCCCAGUACCUUUCCUAGAGGUUUAUGAACACUCCUAUCUGAUACAAGGGAUGGUUGACUUAUCUAAAACUAAUUAUGUUGUGCACAACAUUGUCAGCAGCAUCAUCAUGUGUAAUUUUAUUUCUCGUAUUUCCCAAUACCAUUGUAUUCUUAUUAUGUGUAGUGUUCUCAUUGUGCAAGUAGCGUUCGUUGAGCUUCGAAAUCCUGUUGGGGGUUAUUCGGUAAACAGUGACUGAAUGUGAAUAGGCAAGGGAGUUUUGAAAAGUAGUGGAACAUAGGUUGGACAGAUCGCUGUGUACUUGUGGGACACUGACAGGGUUAUUUGCUAAAGUGGAAAUUCCAAGUGAAUUUCACAUUGUAGACCAAGGGUGGGCAACCUUUAACACUCCAGAUGUUUGGGACUGCAUCUCCCAUAAUACUCUUACAGCAAUCAUGCUGGAAAAACAUCAGAGAUGUAGUCCACAAUGUCUGGAGUGUCGAAGGUUGCCUACCCCUUUUGUAGGCCAAAGUAGCCAAACUGAAAGUAUAACUGACUUAGACUUUUUUUUUUCAAUUCAGCUUGUUUGACCUUAAAUCUGAAAUUCACUUUGAAUUCUCACUUAAUAACAACCAUGUAAAGGAAUGAUGUAUUCUGUCAGAUACAAAGUAGUUCCUUUGAGGUCUCAGGUACAAUUUUCACAUGCGUAAAUAAUAAAAUCCAUAUAAUGGAGGGCAGCACUUUCAUGCCCAAACUCAGCCAUUUUGUUCUAAACUUUUACAUUCUGAUUCACCCCAAUUACCUGUUUAGUGCAUUUAUCCCUUUGGCUGGACUUUCCUAUAUUUAGUUUUUUUAAUUUUCUCUUAAAGGGCAGAGCAGCCUCUGCUAUCGCAAUGAGCAAAAGAGAAAAUCGAAAAACAAAAGUAAUAAUAGCGGAACCCUUAACUUGAACUCUAUGUUUUAUUGCACCCUUGAUGUAAGCGCUUCUAUAAAUAUGUUACAUGUGUGAUCAACAUAAACAAUUGGUACGUACAUAAGAGGAUUCAAUCUUUUUAAUGAGACGUCCACCGACAUGUUUUAGAACAGUCCAUCUAUUAAAGAUACAUUUUAUCCGUUUUUUUUUCUUCAACACAAAACUAACUUUAAAAAUUGUCUUUGCCAAAGCACCUAGACACUAUAUCAGAGUUCACUUUCCUGUUAUUCAUUUUUGGUUUAGAAACCCACCUAUUUUAUUACUAAGGCUCAAUAUUCACUAAAGUAAUAAUACUCGUCAAUUUGCAGAUCUAUGUAAGUUUGGUUGUUGAUAAGUUCAUACUUACUUCUUUAAUUCUACCUGAAAUGUUAACUAUGUAAAUCCACUUGCAAUGAUACUACCAAGUGAAACAUAUUAUUUACAUCUAAAGCUAUAGAAAAUACAGCUGUUCUUACCACUUUAAGAUAUUGGUGUUUUUCUACUCUAUUGACUGACAAGUGAUUAUAUUACAAUUUUUCAAGCAUACAGGUGGAGUAGUGUGUUAAUCAUAGCUCCGGGGAACAUGUGAUAUUAGCAGCCAAUCAGAGAGUAAGAUUCAGACAGGCGACAUGUUUAUUUCCCAGCAUUCUAUGGUGCCAGCAAGAGGAAAUUAUUGUUUGAAUAUCCUCUACUUGCUAUUUAGGGUUGCCCUGUGUCCACCAUGCGGUGUGUAGAAUUUAUAUUACUCCGGUAGGGAGGAGUUAUGUUCAUUUAUCAAAGAGGAAUCCUGCGGCCUAUGAACAGGUCCACCGUCAGAGGGGUACAGCCCCUACACAUGUAAUGGGCUCUAUGUUCAGUAUAUAUAUAUAUAUAUAUAUAUAUAUAUAUAUAUAUAUAUAUAGCAAUAAUAAUAAUAUAUAUGUAUACACACACAACAUUACUGUUGUGUAUCACCUGAUAUACAGCUGCAGCAAAGAGAGAUCGAAGUUCUCCCUCCCCGGGUCAUUGCAGGCUUGUAUCGCAAGGGCUUGCUCGGGAGACUCUCAGCCAUCACCUCCACUGCCUGGAUCUAUCCCUAGCUUGUCCGAUAUCACAUAGUACCAGGGCUUGCGAGAAGAGCCUUCACCAAGCAGAGGUGAAGGCAGAGAGUGUCUAAAGUACCACAGGACCACUAAGGAAUGUCGUGUUUCCCCUUCAAGGCCUUAGGUAUGAAGCAGGGAGGGGGAAAAAACUUUAAUAAGACAAAACAAAACGUGUGUUUUUGUUUAUAUAUAUAUAUAUAUAUAUUCCCUUCUCACCCUACACACAUACACUGCAUCCACCGUACACACCUCCUCCCUUAUACACACACACACUACAUCCCCCCCCCGCACUUACACCACAUCCCUUUAUCAAUUAUGGUACAUGUUUUUUUUUCUUAAACAUUUCUAGUAAAAAUAUAUGGGUGAGUUUUAUAUACAGGCCACAAAAUUUCUGAUGGCAUUCCUGCAUGUGAAUGCUACAUACUAAAGGGCGACACUUUCAAUGUGCUAUUAAGAAGUGAUAAGGGUCCAGGAAAACAGGGUGGAUCUGCUAACCCUAGUGCCAUCCAUGAUUUUAGGAAGUUUAUAUUAGCUAUACAUCCUUUUCAAUUUUAAUUAAAAAGGCUACUGAACAUUUUUUUUAGAAAUAUUAGGAAACUAUAUAGGCAGUUUUUUUUAAAUGAUAUGAUAGUGUAAAAAAAUGUUUGCAUGAUAGAUCCUCUUGAGGGGAUAACCUUUUCUAUACUAUUCUGUCAUACUAGGACAAAACUGACUACAGUUCUUAUAUAGCCAUUUAUUUCAUAGAAUGUUUAAGAUAUUCCUUAUACAGCUGGGCCUGUCAACUGUAAAGCAAUUUGCGUCACUGGCAUGCCCUCCUCCCUUCCGGUCCUCAUAGUAAGAGGAAUUCAGCUGCUACCUGUGUGAAAACAGUUAACAGAUUAUAGCAAGACCCUGGGAACCACGAUACAAAAAUGGUGAUAUGUCAGAUCUAGAAAUAAAUUACAACAGAUCUUCAUGCCAGAGACACAACAUGGGUUACCCCGUGUUUGCAUGUUAUAAAACUAUAAACAGGCAGACAAUAAAAUUAGUUAUAUGCAAAUUUAGAAAUAUAAAAAAGUUCUAUAUAGCAAAUUAUUAUCCAGUGUAUAUAUAUAUGAGGGAAAGGACGAUUAUUAGAGCUGAUAUUCAGCAUUUUGCCGAUAUUACUGAUAACUUGCUCAAAUGAGGCACAACAUUGCAGCCUCACGUCACUCCUCCCUGUAAGUCCCCACAUGCAGAGCUCAGCUGAAGGCAGGGAGGUGAGACACUGAAUAAUCUACUGCAGGCACAGGCAACCUUCCGCACUCCAGAUGUUUUGGCCAGCAUUAUGGGUGUAAGAGCAUUAUGGGGUAUGUAGUCCACAACAUCUGGAGCCCCAAAGGUUGCCUGUCCCUGAUCUACUGUAAUGUAGUAGGCUGUCUGCCUGAGAGUAAUAGGAGUGUGAUUGUGUAGUGUUGGAAAUUCAAAGUGAAGUUCAAAUAAAGCCCAGCUGCUGAAUUGAAAACUUAGGCUCUGAGAUUUUUUACAAUUCAGCUAUUUUGCCCUAGAAAUUGCUAUUCACUUUAAAUUGCCAACAAUUCACACUUUGAUGAAUAACCCCAAAAGAGCUUAAUUACAUUAUACUUUUAAUGUAACAUUGUCUGUUGUACCUGGCUGUUUCCAUGGCAACAAAGCAGUUUUACACAGAGGCAGUUGACGAUUCCUCGCAUCACAAAACAUCUGUAUUUACACUAAAAAGAAUUGUCUGAUUUUUGUUUUCCUCAUAGUACUAAAGGACCACUCUAAGCACCAUAACAACCUUACAUCAAUGCACAUUACUUUGCAGGGAGUACCCAACUCAUAUCACUGCAUUGAUUUAAAAAAAAGUUUAAAAAAAUCUCUGUAGCUAUAAAAUAGUUUAGUGGAUUUCUGAUAUUAAAGAAAAUAUUAUUUUUCCUACACGAACAACGUGGACAACAUAUUUCUUUUACCAACUGAGAUGAGAGCAUGAGAUACUGUCACACGCAUGCACAUACAUGCAUAAAAGGCUAUGACGUAAUGGCAGCUACCAGCUUGAACUACAUAUCCCAUGCCAGGAGUUUAUGGGAUAAGAAAAAAAGACACAUUAGUCACCAAAACAACCUUAGUUUAA
Molecule: non-coding RNA, 5067 nt
Organism: Pelobates cultripes (western spadefoot toad)
Lineage: Eukaryota; Metazoa; Chordata; Amphibia; Anura; Pelobatidae
Source: the annotation of a GenBank genome assembly